Molecule: transfer RNA, 76 nt
Filed under: Candidatus Falkowiibacteriota bacterium
Lineage: Bacteria; Candidatus Falkowiibacteriota
Description: tRNA-Thr
Rfam family: tRNA
About the family: Transfer RNA (tRNA) molecules are approximately 80 nucleotides in length. Their secondary structure includes four short double-helical elements and three loops (D, anti-codon, and T loops).
Source: RNAcentral
GCCGACGUAGCUCAGUUGGUAGAGCAGUAGUUUUGUAAACUAUUGGUCGUGGGUUCGAGUCCCUCCGUCGGCUCCA